ACGCUCGACACCUACGGCAGCAGUGGGGAAUAUUGCACAAUGGGGGAAACCCUGAUGCAGCGACGCCGCGUGAAGGAUGAAGUAUUUCGGUAUGUAAACUUCUAUCAGCAGGGAAGAAAGUGACGGUACCUGACUAAGAAGCCCCGGCUAACUACGUGCCAGCAGCCGCGGUAAUCUGAGCGGGCUGGCAAGGC
RNAcentral lists this ribosomal RNA (194 nucleotides) under uncultured bacterium. Its description in RNAcentral is "partial 16S ribosomal RNA". It matches the Rfam family "Bacterial small subunit ribosomal RNA", at positions 326 to 539 of the family's 1533-position model. The record is from RNAcentral.